GAUGAAUGCUGGCGGCGUGCCUAAUACAUGCAAGUCGUACGGAAAGGCCCUUCGGGGUACUCGAGUGGCGGACGGCUGAGUAACGCGUAGGAACGUGCCCCAAAGUGAGGGAUAACCUCGAGAAAUCGAGGCUAAUACCGCAUAUGGUCUUCGGAUUAAAGCUUCGGCGCUUUGGGAGCGGCCUGCGUACGAUUAGAUAGUUGGUAGGGUAAUGGCCUACCAAGUCGACGAUCGUUAACUGGUCUGAGAG
RNAcentral lists this ribosomal RNA (250 nucleotides) under uncultured bacterium. RNAcentral's name for it is "partial 16S ribosomal RNA". It matches the Rfam family "Bacterial small subunit ribosomal RNA", at positions 28 to 298 of the family's 1533-position model. The record is from RNAcentral.